RNAcentral lists this long non-coding RNA (251 nucleotides) under Gallus gallus (chicken). RNAcentral describes it as "long non-coding RNA NONGGAT004841". Lineage: Eukaryota; Metazoa; Chordata; Aves; Galliformes; Phasianidae. The record is from RNAcentral.
GGCUGCUGGUGAUGGGCUGAUGCUACAGGUGGUGAGCGCUGCCAGCCUGCGCUCGGACACCUCCUCCGAGUGGAUGGUGCUGUGUCUCCUCUGGUGCUCGCUGGCACAGUCCCUGCUCCUGCCCCUCUUCCUUUGGGCCUGCGACCGCUACCGUGCCAACCCACGUGCUGUCUGCGAGAAGUGCCGCACCGUGCUGGCCAAUGACGAUGAGGAUGAAGAGAGCAGCCUGGAGGGCACGGUGGCCGUGGCAG